UCCCACUUUCCCGGGGUUUUUCCCACUUUUCCAACUGCAGGGGUCCCGGUGGGGGAGGGGCAGCCAUGGCCCCCAACGGCUCCGUGGGAUUUCGGGAUUCCCCCCCGGAGCCGGGAAUUUUCCUGGACGAGGAUUUGGGAUCCGACUGGUACAUCUACGAAUCCACGGAGUCCGCGCCCCACGAUGACCUUUUUCCCGACGCCAUCCCGGAAUGCCGCCCCACGCUCUCCCCCCAGCUGUACCACGCCGUCAUGGCUCCCCUUUCCCUGGCCGUGAUCCUGGCCUUGUCCUUCCUGGUCAAGCGCCGCCGGCUCCACCUGAGCUGCUGGAACGGCGUCCCGGGAUUGCUCAGGUAAGGAAUUCCCAAAAUCCUGCUGAUCCUGCCACCAAAGGGCUUGGAAUUCCCAAAAUCCCUUCCUUGGAGAGGGCUUGGAAUUCCCAAAUCCCGGGAAACUACUGGGAAUUCCCAAACCCCGCUGAUCAUUCCUUAGAAAGUACUUGGAAUUCCCCAAAUCCUCACUCUGGAAAGGUCUCAGAAUUCCCAAAAUCCCAUCCUUGGAAACAACUUGGAAUUCCCAAAAUCCCCUCCAUGGAAAGUGUUCUGAAUUCCCCAAACCCUGCUCAUUUCACCUGGAAAGGGCUCAGAAUUCCCAAAAUCCCAUCCCUAGAAAAGACCUGGAAUUCCCAAAGUCCCUCCCUGGGAAAACCUUGGAGGUCUGAAAAAUCCCAUCCUUGGAGAGGAAUUCCCAAAACCCAUCCUUGGAAACAACUCAGAAUUCCUGAAUCCCAUCCCUGCAAAAGGCUCAGAAUCCCCAAAAUCCCCUCUGUGGAAAGGGCUCAGAAUUCCCAAACCCUGCUGAUCCUUCCUUGGAAAGGGCUUGGAAUUCCAAAAUCCCCUUCAUGGAAAGGGCUCAGAAUUCCCAAAAUCCCCUCUGUGGAAAGGGCUUAGAAUUCCCAAAUUCCAUCCCCUGCAAAAGGCUCAGAAUUCCCAAAAUCCCCUCUGUGGAAAGGGCUCGGAAUUCCCAAAUCCCCUCCAUGGAAAGGGCACAGAAUUCCCAAAUUCCAUCCCCUGCAAAGGGCUCAGAAUUCCCAAAAUCCCCUCCAUGGAAAGGGCUCAGAAUUCCCAAACCCCACUGAUCCCAUUCCUGGGAAGGAGAAGGAAUUCCCAGAAUCCCAUCCCUGGGAAGAAGUGGGAAUUCACAAAACCCAAUUCCUGGGAAGAGAAGCAGGAAUUCCCAAAAUCCCAUUACUGGGAAGGGCUCAGAAUUCCCAAAGUG
This 1277-nucleotide long non-coding RNA is filed under the name Serinus canaria (Common canary). Its description in RNAcentral is "lncRNA (ENSSCAG00000016613.1)". The record is from RNAcentral. Lineage: Eukaryota; Metazoa; Chordata; Aves; Passeriformes; Fringillidae.